This 497-nucleotide ribosomal RNA is filed under the name uncultured bacterium. Its description in RNAcentral is "partial 16S ribosomal RNA". It matches the Rfam family "Bacterial small subunit ribosomal RNA", at positions 28 to 507 of the family's 1533-position model. The record is from RNAcentral.
GACGAACGCUGGCGGCGUGCCUAAUACAUGCAAGUCGAACGCUGAAGAGAGGAGCUUGCUCUUCUUGGAUGAGUUGCGAACGGGUGAGUAACGCGUAGGUAACCUGCCUUGUAGCGGGGGAUAACUAUUGGAAACGAUAGCUAAUACCGCAUAACAAUGGAUGACACAUGUCAUUUAUUUGAAAGGGGCAAUUGCUCCACUACAAGAUGGACCUGCGUUGUAUUAGCUAGUAGGUGAGGUAAUGGCUCACCUAGGCGACGAUACAUAGCCGACCUGAGAGGGUGAUCGGCCACACUGGGACUGAGACACGGCCCAGACUCCUACGGGAGGCAGCAGUGGGGAAUCUUCGGCAAUGGGGGCAACACUGACCGAGCAACGCCGCGUGAGUGAAGAAGGUUUUCGGAUCGUAAAGCUCUGUUGUAAGUCAAGAACGGGUGUGAGAGUGGAAAGUUCACACUGUGACGGUAGCUUACCAGAAAGGGACGGCUAACUACGUG